GGGGCUAUAGCGCAGUUGGUAGCGCGUCUCAAUGGCAUUGAGAAGGCCAGCGGUUCGAAUCCGCUUAGCUCCA
This 73-nucleotide transfer RNA is filed under the name Leptolyngbya sp. IPPAS B-1204. RNAcentral's name for it is "tRNA-Ala". It matches the Rfam family "tRNA". Rfam says of the family: Transfer RNA (tRNA) molecules are approximately 80 nucleotides in length. Their secondary structure includes four short double-helical elements and three loops (D, anti-codon, and T loops). Lineage: Bacteria; Bacillati; Cyanobacteriota; Cyanophyceae; Leptolyngbyales; Leptolyngbyaceae. The record is from RNAcentral. RNAcentral also lists the same sequence under 6 other names.